AGCCCUAAGCGGGUGGUAAACUCCAUCUAAGGCUAAAUAUGACCACGAGACCGAUAGCGAACAAGUACCGUGAGGGAAAGUUGAAAAGCACUUUGAAGAGAGAGUUCAAGAGUACGUGAAACCGUUUAGGGGUAAACCUGAGAAACCCGAAAGGUCGAAGGGAGAAAUUCAUUCGCGUCUCGUCGCGAGCGUCGAUCGGUCGAGCGACGGAAAACGCGUUCGCGCGCGUUUUCCGCGCCUUCCGUUCUUCGAACUCGUAGCGAACGCGUGCACUUUUCUCCCGGUAGGACGUCGCGAUCCGUUGAGCGUCGGUCUACGGCUCGCGGUGGAGCCCGUUCGCGUCUCGCACGCGAACGGACCCGCGUGUCCCGGCCGACUCGCUCGACGGUAUACGAAAGGUUUAAGGCCGCUCUAGGAGCGUUCGACUCGCGGCAAGCGCGCCGGAUGCGUCGGCGAUCGGACCCGGUGCCGAUUCUGACCUCCGGCGACUGUUGGCCGCGAAGUUCUCGAACAGACCUCGGACCGAUCUGCGACGCUAUAGCUUUGGGUACUUUCAG
RNAcentral lists this ribosomal RNA (557 nucleotides) under Niphadonyx sp. CNCCOLVG00002533. RNAcentral describes it as "partial 28S ribosomal RNA". It matches the Rfam family "Eukaryotic large subunit ribosomal RNA", at positions 284 to 645 of the family's 3401-position model. Lineage: Eukaryota; Metazoa; Arthropoda; Insecta; Coleoptera; Curculionidae. The record is from RNAcentral.